RNAcentral lists this ribosomal RNA (651 nucleotides) under Triticum aestivum (bread wheat). RNAcentral describes it as "partial small subunit ribosomal RNA". The record is from RNAcentral. Lineage: Eukaryota; Viridiplantae; Streptophyta; Magnoliopsida; Poales; Poaceae.
AUGGAUUUGGUACUCACUGGACCAUGUGGGAUACUACAGGCUUACGGUGCCUUUUGCUUGGAGGUUUCCACAGAAGACCUGGUUUUCACAGAAGACGAUGAGGGGUCUUCUACUGAUGAUGAGGGGUCUUGGGGCGGUCAUUUCCGCCGAGGCUGGGAUGUUACUGAGCAUGAUGAAGUUGAUGAAUUCACACAAACCAUCUAUGGAGGCCUUGGCCGCAAGUUGGAGAUCACAUACUUGGUGAUUCCGGAAGCAGUUGAGACCUAUGUUGAGGUCAGGUUGAACCUCAAAGACUUCGGUUCGAGAAGCCGCUCUGUGUAUGGUAGCGUCAAGGCAAUUGCCAUUGACUAUGGGAGCAAAAGCGUCAAUCUCUUCGGUUUUGAACGAGGCAGUAGCUUGUCCCUGCCCUGUGGUUCCACGUGCAUUCUUCCACUGGGACCACACAUGAUUGCAUUGCCUGAUCGUAGCAAGUACAAACUCCACAUAGAGGUGGACCUAAGAGUAAUCACAACCUGUGACAGCCAAGAAGAGGACAAUAAUUUGAAAUUCUGUCUAGACUGCAGCCGUAGAAUUAGGAGUGAAGAACGUCUAGAGUUACCCCGUAGAAUUAGGACUCAAAAAGAGAAUUCGAUGGUGAUCAAGUUGAAGUGA